UACGGGGGGAGCAAGCGUUGUUCGGAUUUACUGGGCGUAAAGGGCGCGUAGGCGGUCAGCACAAGUCAGUUGUGAAAUCUCCGGGCUUAACUCGGAAAGGUCAACUGAUACUGUGCGACUAGAGUGCAGAAGGGGCAACUGGAAUUCUCGGUGUAGUGGUGAAAUGCGUAGAUAUCGAGAGGAACACCGGUGGCGAAGGCGGGUCUCUGGGCAGUAACUGACGCUGAGGAGCGAAAGCGUGGGGAGCGAACAGG
RNAcentral lists this ribosomal RNA (254 nucleotides) under uncultured bacterium. RNAcentral describes it as "partial 16S ribosomal RNA". It matches the Rfam family "Bacterial small subunit ribosomal RNA", at positions 524 to 776 of the family's 1533-position model. The record is from RNAcentral.